Molecule: ribosomal RNA, 4068 nt
Filed under: Dracunculus medinensis (Guinea worm)
Lineage: Eukaryota; Metazoa; Nematoda; Chromadorea; Rhabditida; Dracunculidae
Description: Eukaryotic large subunit ribosomal RNA
Rfam family: Eukaryotic large subunit ribosomal RNA
Source: Rfam by way of RNAcentral
UGACCUCAACUCAGUCGUGAUUACCUGCUGAAUUUAAGCAUAUAACUAAGCAGAGGAAAAGAAACUAACGAGGAUUUCCCUAGUAACGGCGAGUGAAUGGGAAAUAGCCCAGCGCUAAAUCUACUAAUCUUUUUGAUUAGUUAGAAAUGUAGCGUAUAGGUAUAACAAAAUAUUUAGUCGAUUGUUUUAUGCACCCAAAGUCCCCUUGAGUGGGGCCAUGAUCCGUAGAAGGUGCGAGACCUGUACGGGUGAUGAAGCAAUCGAUGCGUUAUACUCUAGAGUCGAGUUGUUUGAGAUUGCAGCUCAAAGAGGGUGGUAGAUUUCAUCUAAGGCUAAAUAUUGCCACGAGACCGAUAGCAAACAAGUACCGUGAGGGAAAGUUGCAAAGAACUUUGAAGAGAGAGUUCAAGAGGACGUGAAACCGCUGAGAUUGAAGCGAAUAGAAUUGACGAAACUCGUUAGCAUUCAACCAAUCGGAUAAACAUUGCUAUAUUGUUGAAUAUAUUUUUUUAUUUUUUGAAAAAAUAUAUUCGUCGUGUACAUUAUGAUAAAAAAUUAGUAAUGACAUCAAUAUAUGCAUAAAUUGUUUAUUAUAUAUAAUUUUAUAUAUAAAGAUUGGUGCUUUUGCUAAUAGUAUGCAUUGAGAAUCUCGUUAACGUAUGAAACGAUUCGAUUGUUCUUGUGGACCGUUUGUCUUUGUUUCAAAGUGAACGAAAUCCAACAAUUGAAUGAUAAUGAAGAGAGAGCAUAUCGUUAAUGAGAGAAAGGUGAUAUCUCAACUGUAGUUUUUCGAGACUAUAGUGUUUCAAGGAUCCUCUUCAUUAACAAUAGCAUUGGAUAAAACGCUUGCGUUUUUAUCUAUGUAAUUUUUUUAUUGUUUUUGUUGAGAUUUUUUGAUGAAACAUUUUUUAAAUAAAUAAAAGAGAUAUAUUCUCGAUGUGAACGUCAAUCACCUAUUCGACCCGUCUUGAAACACGGACCAAGGAGUCUAGCACAUACGCAAGUCAAUAGAUAUAUAAAAUCUAUCGGCAUAAUGAAAGUAAAUGUUGUUGAUUUAUUUUUAUCGAUAAAUCUAAACAAUUUAUAUGCGAUCCAUUAUGUGAGAAGAGUUUUUUUGUAAAAGAAAAUAAUUUGCGUAUAAUGGAGCAACAUAGACCCGUUCGUAUUGCAUGCAUCGGAAGAUGGUGAACUAUGCCUGAGCAGGAUGAAGCCAGAGGAAACUCUGGUGGAAGUCCGAAGCGGUUCUGACGUGCAAAUCGAUCGUCCGACUCGGGUAUAGGGGCGAAAGACUAAUCGAACCAUCUAGUAGCUGGUUCCCUCUGAAGUUUCCCCCAGGAUAGCUGGAACUUAUUUUGAGCAGUUAUAUACGGUAAAGCGAAUGAUUAGAGGAAUUGGGGACGAAACGACCUCAACCUAUUCUCAAACUUUCAAUGUGUAUGACGUCUCGCUUGUUUAAAAAAAUUAUGAAACGUUUAGAUAUUGAAUGUGAGUUCCAAGUGGGCCAUUUUUGGUAAGCAGAACUGGCGCUGUGGAAUGAACCAAAUGUCGAGUUAAAGUGCCGAAUUUUACGCUCUUGAAAGGCGUUGGUUGAUAUAGACAGCAGGACGGUGGCCAUGGAAGUCGGAAACCGCUAAGGAGUGUGUAACAACUCACCUGCCGAAUCAACUAGCCCUGAAAAUGGAUGGCGCUUGAGCGAAAAACUUAUACUCGACCGUUGUUUGGUAUGUAUUUUUCAAAAAAAAAAAAUCCGACCACAACGAGUAAGAGGGUCGCAGUGGUUUGCGUUGAAGGUUUUGAGCGUAGGCUCAACUGGAGCUUCCACUGGUGCAGAUCUUGGUGGUAGUAGCAAAUAUUCAAGUGAGAUCCUUGAAGACUGAAGUGGAGAAGGGUUCCACGUGAACAGCAGUUGAAUGUGGGUCAGUCGAUCCUAAGAUAUCGGCUAAUGCCGUUUUAUGAAUUUCAAUGAGAGAGAAGAAGGAUGGAAAAAUUUUUUUAUCAUUCGUCUCGUCAUUAUCGAAAGGGAAACGGGUUCAUAUUCCCGUACCCGGACACGGAGAGUGGCGUUCACGAUUGUGAAUGUCUAGCGCGGUAACGCAAACGAACUCGGAAACGCUGAAUAGAGCUCGAGCCAGAGUUCUCUUUUCUGGUUAAGAAAUGGACUCCCUGGAAACGGUUCAGCCGGCGAUAGGGACGUUAUUUUCGUAAAGCACCGCGGUUCGUGUGGUGUCUCGUGCGCUCUUAUUUGGCCCAUGAAAAUCCGAGGGAGGCUAUUUGAAUUUCGUGCCGGAUCGUACCGAUAUCCGCAGCAGGUCUCCAAGGUGAACAGCCUCUAGUCGAUAGAAUAAUGUAGGUAAGGGAAGUCGGCAAAUUAGAUCCGUAACUUCGGGAAAAGGAUUGGCUCUAAGAACUGAGUCGGACGGGCUGUUACGUGAAGUAUGCUAUAAUUGAAUCGAAGCAGUGCAAAACUAUUUAUAGUGUAGUGGGUGGUAUUUUUUUUUCUUUGUUUUACGAAAUCAUUUUUUGAUUUCUGUGAAAUUUUUAGAAAAAAAAUUUACUCACUCUUAUAAAUGGUCAAGUUCGGCUAGUGUUUCAAUUGUCGUACGGAGCGUUAUAGCUGUGCGUCGCACUCAUAUAUACAUAUAUCUCUAACUAUCUUUUAGGAUAUGUGAAUGAGUGUAUGUGUAUGAGUGUAUUUUUGUUAAUAGGCGCUUCGUCCGUCGCUAAACAGUCGACUUAGAACUGGCACGGACUCGGGGAAUCCGACUGUCUAAUUAAAACAGAGGAGACAGACGGUCCUUGUGGACGUUGACUGUCUCUGAUUUCUGCCCAGUGCUCUGAAUGUAAAAGUGAAGAAAUUCAACGAAGCGCGGGUAAACGGCGGGAGUAACUAUGACUCUCUUAAGGUAGCCAAAUGCCUCGUCAUCUAACUAGUGACGCGCAUGAAUGGAUUAACGAGAUUCCCACUGUCCCUAUCUACUAUCUAGCGAAACCACAGCCAAGGGAACGGGCUUGGCGAACACAGCGGGGAAAGAAGACCCUGUUGAGCUUGACUCUAGUCUGACUCUGUGAAGAGUCAUGAGAGGUGUAGCAUAAGUGGGAGGUUAUGAAAAAAAAUUAUAGCCGCCGGUGAAAUACCACUACUUUCAUCGAUUCUUUACUUAUUCGGUAAGACGAGAAUUGAGCUGUAUUCAUCGGCUCUUAUUUCUUGCAUUCAAGUACUUAGACACUUGGUGUUGGUACGACUCGCGCCGAAGACAGUGUCAGGCGGGGAGUUUGACUGGGGCGGUACAUCUGUCAAAACGUAACGCAGGUGUCCUAAGGCUAGCUCAGAGAGGACGGAAACCUCUCGUAGAGUAAAAGGGCAAAAGCUCGCUUGAUCUUGAUUUCCAGUACGAAUACAGACCGCGAAAGCGUGGCCUAUCGAUCCUUUUGAAUUAGAAAAUCUCUAGCAAGAGGUGUCAGAAAAGUUACCACAGGGAUAACUGGCUUGUGGCAGCCAAGCGUCCAUAGCGACGUUGCUUUUUGAUUUGAUGUCGGCUCUUCCUAUCAUUGUGAAGCAGAAUUCACCAAGCGUUGGAUUGUUCACCCACCAAUAGGGAACGUGAGCUGGGUUUAGACCGUCGUGAGACAGGUUAGUUUUACCCUACUGUGAUAUGUUGUUGCGAUAGUAAUCCUGCUUAGUACGAGAGGAACCGCAGGUUCAGACAUUUGGUUUAUGUUCUUGGCCGAUCGGCCAAUGGUGCGAUGCUACCAUCUGAGGGAUUAUGACUGAAUGCCUCUAAGUCAGAAUCCCGUCUAGACAUGGCAACGAUAAUUUUGCUCCUCGAUGUCGAGAGGCAAAUCUAUAUAGAUAUGUUUAUUGUGCAUAUCUAUAAUAUUAGAUGGUAUUGCUAUACGUGUUGAAUAAAUUGCAUGUAUAGUUGCCAAAGCUGGUUUCAAAAAAAAAUCCGCUACCAAUGUCGGGGCGCAAAAUCACUUGUAGACGACAUGAUUACUGGUCAAGAUUGUAAUCAGUAGAGCCUCCAUACUGCGAUCUGUUGAGACUCAUCCUUUGAUUGGACGAUUUGU